RNAcentral lists this ribosomal RNA (437 nucleotides) under uncultured Anaerolineaceae bacterium. RNAcentral's name for it is "bacterial SSU rRNA". It matches the Rfam family "Bacterial small subunit ribosomal RNA", at positions 342 to 795 of the family's 1533-position model. Lineage: Bacteria; Bacillati; Chloroflexota; Anaerolineae; Anaerolineales; Anaerolineaceae. The record is from RNAcentral.
CGGGGGGCUGCAGCAGGGAAUAUUGCACAAUGGACGGAAGUCUGAUGCAGCGACGCCGCGUGGAUGAUGAAGGCCCUCGGGUUGUAAAAUCCUUUUCAGGGGGACGAGGCAGGACGGUACCCUUGGAAUAAGCGUCGGCUAACUACGUGCCAGCAGCCGCGGUAAGACGUAGGACGCAAGCGUUAUCCGGAUUUACUGGGCGUAAAGCGUCUGUAGGCGGAGUGGAAAGUUGGGCGUGAAAGCUCCGGGCUCAACCCGGAGAGGACGUUCAAUACUACCAAACUAGAGGACAUCAGAGGAGCGUGGAAUUUCCGGUGUAGCGGUAAAAUGCGCAGAUAUCGGAAGGAACACCAGUGGCGAAGGCGGCGCUCUGGGAUGUACCUGACGCUAAGAGACGAAAGCUAGGGGAGCGAACAGGAUUAGAUACCCUUGUAGUC